RNAcentral lists this ribosomal RNA (381 nucleotides) under uncultured bacterium. RNAcentral's name for it is "bacterial SSU rRNA". It matches the Rfam family "Bacterial small subunit ribosomal RNA", at positions 28 to 396 of the family's 1533-position model. The record is from RNAcentral.
GUUGAACGCUGGCGGCAUGCCUUACACAUGCAAGUCGAACGGCAGCACGGGUGCAAAGGGUAACCAAUGCGCCUGGUGGCGAGUGGCGAACGGGUGAGUAAAAAUAUCGGAACGUACCCAGUAGAGGGGAAUAACUCGCUGAAAGGUGAGCUAAUACCGCAUACGCCCUGAGGGGGAAAGUGGGGGAUCGCAAGACCUCACGUUAUUGGAGCGGCCGAUAGCUGAUUAGCUAGUUGGAGGGGUAAAGGCCCACCAAGGCGACGAUCAGUAGCUGGUCUGAGAGGACGGCCAGCCACACUGGAACUGAGAGACGGACCAGACUCCUACGGAGGCAGCAGUGGGGAAUUUUGGACAAUGGGGGCGAACCCUGAUCCAGCAAUG